Molecule: small RNA, 131 nt
Filed under: Enterobacter cloacae
Lineage: Bacteria; Pseudomonadati; Pseudomonadota; Gammaproteobacteria; Enterobacterales; Enterobacteriaceae
Also listed under: 4 other names
Description: RtT sRNA
Rfam family: RtT RNA
About the family: This family represents a bacterial cis-regulatory element known as RtT RNA.
Source: RNAcentral
GUAUUUCCGAUGCAGGGAAGGAUGAGAAGCUUCGACUAAGGUUCGAUUCGAGCGUAGCGAGAAAGCGUUGCCGCAGGCAACGACCCGAAGGGCGAGGCGCAACGCGCCGAGUAAUCCUUCCCCCACCACCA